This is a small nucleolar RNA of Suncus etruscus (white-toothed pygmy shrew), 211 nucleotides long. RefSeq annotates it as small nucleolar RNA U3. NCBI's taxonomy places the organism in Eukaryota, Metazoa, Chordata, Mammalia, Eulipotyphla, Soricidae. The transcript has a single exon. The record is from RefSeq and is a predicted model, not a curated record.
AAGACUAUACUUUCAGGGAUCAUUUCUAUACUAUGUGACUAGAGAAGUUUCUCUGAUCAUUGUAGAGCAUCGGAAGCCAUGAGGAGGAGUCAGAGCAUCCUCUCCUGAGCAUGAAAAUGGUUCUAGGUGUUGCUUCUGCAACUGCCCUUUGCCAUUGAUGAUCAUUCUUCCCUCCCUUUAUAAGGGGUAGAGGGAGAGGAUGCAGUUAAAU